RNAcentral lists this ribosomal RNA (2200 nucleotides) under Escherichia coli. RNAcentral's name for it is "23S ribosomal RNA". It matches the Rfam family "Bacterial large subunit ribosomal RNA", at positions 1 to 2228 of the family's 2925-position model. Lineage: Bacteria; Pseudomonadati; Pseudomonadota; Gammaproteobacteria; Enterobacterales; Enterobacteriaceae. The record is from RNAcentral.
UUAAGCGACUAAGCGUACACGGUGGAUGCCCUGGCAGUCAGAGGCGAUGAAGGACGUGCUAAUCUGCGAUAAGCGUCGGUAAGGUGAUAUGAACCGUUAUAACCGGCGAUUUCCGAAUGGGGAAACCCAGUGUGUUUCGACACACUAUCAUUAACUGAAUCCAUAGGUUAAUGAGGCGAACCGGGGGAACUGAAACAUCUAAGUACCCCGAGGAAAAGAAAUCAACCGAGAUUCCCCCAGUAGCGGCGAGCGAACGGGGAGCAGCCCAGAGCCUGAAUCAGUGUGUGUGUUAGUGGAAGCGUCUGGAAAGGCGCGCGAUACAGGGUGACAGCCCCGUACACAAAAAUGCACAUGCUGUGAGCUCGAUGAGUAGGGCGGGACACGUGGUAUCCUGUCUGAAUAUGGGGGGACCAUCCUCCAAGGCUAAAUACUCCUGACUGACCGAUAGUGAACCAGUACCGUGAGGGAAAGGCGAAAAGAACCCCGGCGAGGGGAGUGAAAAAGAACCUGAAACCGUGUACGUACAAGCAGUGGGAGCACGCUUAGGCGUGUGACUGCGUACCUUUUGUAUAAUGGGUCAGCGACUUAUAUUCUGUAGCAAGGUUAACCGAAUAGGGGAGCCGAAGGGAAACCGAGUCUUAACUGGGCGUUAAGUUGCAGGGUAUAGACCCGAAACCCGGUGAUCUAGCCAUGGGCAGGUUGAAGGUUGGGUAACACUAACUGGAGGACCGAACCGACUAAUGUUGAAAAAUUAGCGGAUGACUUGUGGCUGGGGGUGAAAGGCCAAUCAAACCGGGAGAUAGCUGGUUCUCCCCGAAAGCUAUUUAGGUAGCGCCUCGUGAAUUCAUCUCCGGGGGUAGAGCACUGUUUCGGCAAGGGGGUCAUCCCGACUUACCAACCCGAUGCAAACUGCGAAUACCGGAGAAUGUUAUCACGGGAGACACACGGCGGGUGCUAACGUCCGUCGUGAAGAGGGAAACAACCCAGACCGCCAGCUAAGGUCCCAAAGUCAUGGUUAAGUGGGAAACGAUGUGGGAAGGCCCAGACAGCCAGGAUGUUGGCUUAGAAGCAGCCAUCAUUUAAAGAAAGCGUAAUAGCUCACUGGUCGAGUCGGCCUGCGCGGAAGAUGUAACGGGGCUAAACCAUGCACCGAAGCUGCGGCAGCGACGCUUAUGCGUUGUUGGGUAGGGGAGCGUUCUGUAAGCCUGUGAAGGUGUGCUGUGAGGCAUGCUGGAGGUAUCAGAAGUGCGAAUGCUGACAUAAGUAACGAUAAAGCGGGUGAAAAGCCCGCUCGCCGGAAGACCAAGGGUUCCUGUCCAACGUUAAUCGGGGCAGGGUGAGUCGACCCCUAAGGCGAGGCCGAAAGGCGUAGUCGAUGGGAAACAGGUUAAUAUUCCUGUACUUGGUGUUACUGCGAAGGGGGGACGGAGAAGGCUAUGUUGGCCGGGCGACGGUUGUCCCGGUUUAAGCGUGUAGGCUGGUUUUCCAGGCAAAUCCGGAAAAUCAAGGCUGAGGCGUGAUGACGAGGCACUACGGUGCUGAAGCAACAAAUGCCCUGCUUCCAGGAAAAGCCUCUAAGCAUCAGGUAACAUCAAAUCGUACCCCAAACCGACACAGGUGGUCAGGUAGAGAAUACCAAGGCGCUUGAGAGAACUCGGGUGAAGGAACUAGGCAAAAUGGUGCCGUAACUUCGGGAGAAGGCACGCUGAUAUGUAGGUGAAGUCCCUCGCGGAUGGAGCUGAAAUCAGUCGAAGAUACCAGCUGGCUGCAACUGUUUAUUAAAAACACAGCACUGUGCAAACACGAAAGUGGACGUAUACGGUGUGACGCCUGCCCGGUGCCGGAAGGUUAAUUGAUGGGGUUAGCGCAAGCGAAGCUCUUGAUCGAAGCCCCGGUAAACGGCGGCCGUAACUAUAACGGUCCUAAGGUAGCGAAAUUCCUUGUCGGGUAAGUUCCGACCUGCACGAAUGGCGUAAUGAUGGCCAGGCUGUCUCCACCCGAGACUCAGUGAAAUUGAACUCGCUGUGAAGAUGCAGUGUACCCGCGGCAAGACGGAAAGACCCCGUGAACCUUUACUAUAGCUUGACACUGAACAUUGAGCCUUGAUGUGUAGGAUAGGUGGGAGGCUUUGAAGUGUGGACGCCAGUCUGCAUGGAGCCGACCUUGAAAUACCACCCUUUAAUGUUUGAUGUUCUAACGU